GGCAGUGUAGCUUAAUGGUAGAGUACUCAGCUGGUAUCUGAGACGUACAGGUUCGAGUCCUGUGGCUGUCU
Octopus bimaculoides (California two-spot octopus) is the source of this 71-nucleotide non-coding RNA. NCBI's taxonomy places the organism in Eukaryota, Metazoa, Mollusca, Cephalopoda, Octopoda, Octopodidae. The record is from Rfam.